AGCAUACUUAGGGAUAAACAUCAGUACCUCUGGAAGCUUUACAGAGGCAAAACAUGAUCUAUAUAAAAGAGGACUAAAAGCUCUUUUUUAAUAUUUAUAAAAUAUUUAAAGGUCAUAAACCCAAAAUUAAAACUUUACUUCAUAUAUUUGACCACACAGUAAAACCAAUUUUAACUUAUGGAAGUGAAAUUUGGGGGGCUUUAGAUUCAAAAAAAUUAACUGAAAAAGGAGAUUGUUAUUUUGAAAAAUUAUGUAAAGAACUGCAAACAAAAUCAGUUCAUUCAAAAAUCUGUAAAUUUUCACUGAGAGUAGGAAAGAGAAGCACAAAUAUGGCAGUGAUAGGUGAGCUAGGG
This 353-nucleotide long non-coding RNA is filed under the name Mytilus galloprovincialis (Mediterranean mussel). The record is from RNAcentral. Lineage: Eukaryota; Metazoa; Mollusca; Bivalvia; Mytilida; Mytilidae.